Molecule: ribosomal RNA, 1306 nt
Filed under: uncultured bacterium
Lineage: Bacteria
Description: bacterial SSU rRNA
Rfam family: Bacterial small subunit ribosomal RNA
Source: RNAcentral
AACGUACGCUGGCGGCACGCCUAACACAUGCAAGUCGAACGAAGUAGCAAUACUUAGUGGCAGACGGGUGAGUAACAUGUAGGUAUCUGCCCUUUGGCCUGGAAUAACACGAGGAAACUUGUGCUAAUACCGGAUAAGUCUUUACGGAGAAAGCUUUAUGCACCAUUGGAUGAGCCUGCACUUGAUUAGUUUGUUGGUGGGGUAAUGGCCUACCAAGACUGUGAUCAAUAGCUGAUUUGAGAGGAUGAUCAGCCACAUUGGGACUGAGACACGGCCCAAACUCCUACGGGAGGCAGCAGUGGGGAAUCUUGCACAAUGGAGGAAACUCUGAUGCAGCGAUGCCGCGUGAGUGAAGAAGGCCCUUGGGUUGUAAAGCUCUUUCGUCGGGGAAGAAAAUGACUGUACCCGAAUAAGAAGGUCCGGCUAACUUCGUGCCAGCAGCCGCGGUAAUACGAAGGGACCUAGCGUAGUUCGGAAUUACUGGGCUUAAAGAGUUCGUAGGUGGUUGAAAAAGUUAGUGGUGAAAUCCCAGAGCUUAACUCUGGAACUGCCAUUAAAACUUUUCAGCUAGAGUAUGAUAGAGGAAAGCAGAAUUUCUAGUGUAGAGGUGAAAUUCGUAGAUAUUAGAAAGAAUACCAAUUGCGAAGGCAGCUUUCUGGAUCAUUACUGACACUGAGGAACGAAAGCAUGGGUAGCGAAGAGGAUUAGAUACCCUCGUAGUCCAUGCCGUAAACGAUGUGUGUUAGACGUUGGAAAUUUAUUUUCAGUGUCGCAGGGAAACCGAUAAACACACCGCCUGGGGAGUACGACCGCAAGGUUAAAACUCAAAUGAAUUGACGGGGACCCGCACAAGUAGUGGAGCAUGUGGUUUAAUUCGAAGAUACGCGCAGAACCUUACCAACACUUGACAUGUUCGUCGCGACUCUAAGAGAUUAGAGUUUUCGGUUCGGCCGGACGAAACACAGGUGCUGCAUGGCUGUCGUCAGCUCGUGUCGUGAGAUGUUGGGUUAAGUCCCGCAACGAGCGCAACCCUUACUUUUAGUUGCCAUCAUUAAGUUGGGCACUCUGAAAGAACUGCCAGUGAUAAGCUGGAGGAAGGUGGGGAUGACGUCAAGUCCUCAUGGCCCUUACGUGUUGGGCUACACACGUGCUACAAUGGUAUCUACAACAGGAAGCAAGACUGCGAAGUUAAGCAAAUCCCUAAAAGAUACCUCAGUUCGGAUUGCACUCUGCAACUCGAGUGCAUGAAGCUGGAAUUACUAGUAAUCGUGGAUCAGCGUGCCACGGUGAAUGCGUUCCCGGGUCU